GGUCAUCUGGUAUUCUAUGGCUGUCAAGCAUUUGUGUGAAAAAUUGCACAUGUUCCUUCAUACUUUGUUCAGUUAAAGUGAACUUUAUGGCAUUUGUAUGGCACCUAAACUUUCCUUCUUUUAGACGCCUAUGCAAUGUGCUCCUUGACAUAUGCAAGGCACUGGCUAGGUCACGGAUAGUAUGACGCUGUCUAAGUAGCACAUCUUUGAUGACAUCUGGGUUAAAUGGAAGUUUUUUACCGUCACAAUUUUUUUCUUAUUGGGAUCAAAAGUUGAAAUUCCACCACCAGUUUUUGCAUCUAGCUAUACACGCUGGACAACUCUUAACGACACCCCCAUAUCACUAGCAACAGAUUUCGUC
Molecule: long non-coding RNA, 361 nt
Filed under: Setaria viridis
Lineage: Eukaryota; Viridiplantae; Streptophyta; Magnoliopsida; Poales; Poaceae
Description: long non-coding RNA (SVIR_LNC011329)
Source: RNAcentral